UGGGGGAUUGGGAAAUGGGCGCAGCCUGAUCAUCCUGCCGCGUGUGUGAAGAAGGCCUUCGGGUUGUAAAGCACUUUUGUCCGGAAAGAAAUCCAUGGCGCUAAUACCGUCGGGGGAUGACGGUACCCGGAGAACAACCACCGGCUAACUACGUGCCAGCAGCCGCGGUAAU
RNAcentral lists this ribosomal RNA (172 nucleotides) under uncultured bacterium. Its description in RNAcentral is "partial 16S ribosomal RNA". It matches the Rfam family "Bacterial small subunit ribosomal RNA", at positions 355 to 524 of the family's 1533-position model. The record is from RNAcentral.